ACCUAGAGGCAUAUAUGACAUACCAACCAGAUUAGAGAUGGAUAAAAAUUUAGAUUUACAUGAAGAGAAAGCUUUUCAGCAAGAAGAACAAAUAUUAGCAGAGCUUUUUGUUGAUGAAGAACUUAUAACGAUACCUUUGAAUAGGGCUGAUCUGCCGUCCAAUAAAGUUGAAGCUGAUUUUAUAUUUAAUCUUAUUGAGUUGGAGGGUGACGAUCAGUUCAUAAAUGACG
RNAcentral lists this long non-coding RNA (230 nucleotides) under Elaeis guineensis (African oil palm). Its description in RNAcentral is "long non-coding RNA (EGUI_LNC033110)". The record is from RNAcentral. Lineage: Eukaryota; Viridiplantae; Streptophyta; Magnoliopsida; Arecales; Arecaceae.